UGUUGUUGCAGUUAAAAAGCUCGUAGUCGGAUUUCAGCUUUGCUCAUCUUUUCCACUUUGGAUCUGCUGGGGAGGGCUUCUUUGACGGAAGUAUUCCUGACAUUCAUUUGUUGGGUUUUUCAACCGUCUCUUUUACUUUGAGAAAAUUAGAGUGUUCAAAGCAGGCAUUGCCUGAAUAUUACUCUUGGAAUAAUAAUAGAUGACUCUGGUGCUAGUUUGUUGGUGCACUGGUGCCGGAGUAAUGAUUAAUAGCGACGGUUGGGGUCAUUCGUACUGCAAAGCGAGAGGUGAAAUUCUUGGACCUUUGUAUGACGAACAACUGCGAAAGCAUUUGACUAGGACGUUCGCGUUGAUCAAGAACGAAAGUUGGGGGAUCGAAGACGAUCAGAUACCGUCGUAGUCUCAACCAUAAACUACGCCAGCUAGGGAUGAGCGAUUGUCUUCAACUGACAUCGUUUGCACCUUAUGAGAAAUCAAAGCAUUUGGGUUCCGGGGGGAGUAUGGUCGCAAGGCUGAAACUUAAAGGAAUUGACGGGAGGGCACC
Molecule: ribosomal RNA, 544 nt
Filed under: uncultured marine eukaryote
Lineage: Eukaryota
Description: SSU rRNA
Rfam family: Eukaryotic small subunit ribosomal RNA
Source: RNAcentral